AUUUUUGAUUAAAAUCUGUCAUUAAUUGAGGGCCCCAUUUCAUUCAUUACCAAGCCCCUCUCUCUCUUCUUAUGGCCGGCCACCUCACCCCCAUUGCUUCUCUCUCUAAUUGCCGCCUCACCACCUCUUAAUUACCUUCCAAAUACCUCCCCUCUCAAACAUAAUUUCAGCUUUUAUUCCAGAUUUCAAAAUCUGAGAUUGGAAAUCAAGAUUAUUCCCUCUCAGAUUUCCUCUCCUCCUCUACUUCACGUGGCUUGUUUUCCAUAAGUCUUGCUGCUAAGUUUUUCCUCCCUAAAAUGAGAGUUGGAAUUCCUCUCAGAUUUUUGAGGGAAGAAAAUCUGAAACAUUUCAGAUUCCUCCAAAGAAUUACUUCAGCUUUGUAGAAGAAUUUGGAAAAACGGGAAGUCUUCUCAGAUUUUGGUUCCAAAAAUCUGAAAUUCCUUUUUCUGGAUUUUGGUGAGCCUGAAAUCUUCCUACCGGGAUUGCGGUCCAGAAGUUCAGAGAAUUGACAUCUUCCUUAUUGCUGCUUCACCUGCAACCCGUGAUUUAGAAGAUCCGGAACGUGUACUUGCCCCUCUUCCCGGGUGUUCCUUAGUGCAAGGAGGUUCGUGGUUGCUGUCCACUUCAUUCCCAACUUUCAAACAACCUUGCCGGAGUGCGUAUCCCUUUUGUCUUUGGAUCACCGGCCAAGUCCUCAUAGUCAGGUCUUAGAUGAGUUGGAGUCGCAUCUUUUUCUGAAUGGACUCGUCUUAGCUUUCGGCUUGCGGAACGAAACUGCAUGGCGCAGACCUGCAAUCUAAGGCUCCGUUUGGGACGGCUGUAGUUGUCGGUAAAAUAAGUUGUGAAGUUAUUGUCCAAAAAGCUGCUUUAUAAAUUUGCAGUAUAUAAAUCAAUAAAUUUUAUUUGGGUAGUA
This is a long non-coding RNA of Dendrobium catenatum, 913 nucleotides long. RefSeq lists it as uncharacterized. The transcript has 2 exons. NCBI's taxonomy places the organism in Eukaryota, Viridiplantae, Streptophyta, Magnoliopsida, Asparagales, Orchidaceae. The record is from RefSeq and is a predicted model, not a curated record.